AACAGUCUACAUAACGUGAACCGAUUCAGUUAAACCGAGUCGCACUUUGCUACAGCGACCAGCCAAUCAGAAGACGCAAAACAGAGUUUCGGAUUGGCUGGCGCUGGGAAGUCCCGCCCCCAGGUCACGCAGCUUUGGCGUGGUGGUGAGCUGUGAGUGGAGUGGCUGCUGCUGCCUCAUGGCCUGAGCGGAGGUCACCCACAGAACAGCCUGCAACCCCGCAAACAUUACACCUUAACUAUCGAUUACAGCGAUCAAUACAGUUACAGCAGGAACAUACUGAAUAGCAGGCAACUUGCAAUAGGCCUUACAGUGUGCAUACUCAGACCAGACACCAGAUCAUCCUGCAGCCAAUGAGGUUUAAAGAGUCUAAUCUAGAAAACCCAUUUACAUGAGUACCUGAAGCAGCCUAAAGAGGGAAGCAAACCCACCGAAUAAACCCCAACCUACAGACCGCGGAUCA
RNAcentral lists this long non-coding RNA (463 nucleotides) under Astyanax mexicanus (Mexican tetra). Its description in RNAcentral is "lncRNA (ENSAMXG00005001780.1)". The record is from RNAcentral. Lineage: Eukaryota; Metazoa; Chordata; Actinopteri; Characiformes; Acestrorhamphidae.